Non-coding RNA from Pelobates cultripes (western spadefoot toad), 136 nucleotides. The record is from the annotation of a GenBank genome assembly. Lineage: Eukaryota; Metazoa; Chordata; Amphibia; Anura; Pelobatidae.
GUGUGUGUGUGUGUGUGUGUGUGUAUAUAUACUUAGAUUAUAUAUAUAUAUAUAUAUAUAUAUAUAUAUAUAUAUAUAUAUAUAUAUAUAUAUAUAUAAUCUAAGUAUAUAUACACACACACACACACACACACAC